This 464-nucleotide ribosomal RNA is filed under the name Pseudoramibacter alactolyticus. RNAcentral describes it as "bacterial SSU rRNA". It matches the Rfam family "Bacterial small subunit ribosomal RNA", at positions 28 to 492 of the family's 1533-position model. The record is from RNAcentral. Lineage: Bacteria; Bacillati; Bacillota; Clostridia; Eubacteriales; Eubacteriaceae.
GACGAACGCUGGCGGUAUGCUUAACACAUGCAAGUCGAACGAGAAGUUUUUUAUUGACCCUUCGGGGGAUAUAAGAGACAGACAGUGGCGAACGGGUGAGUAACGCGUGGGCAACCUACCUAUCGGAGCGGGAUAGCCUCGAGAAAUCGGGAGUAAAACCGCAUAACACAGCAGAAUCGCAUGACUUUGCUGUCAAAACUCCGGUGCCGAUAGAUGGGCCCGCGUCUGAUUAGCUAGUUGGUAAGGUAAGGGCUUACCAAGGCAACGAUCAGUAGCCGGUCUGAGAGGGCGAACGGCCACACUGGAACUGAGACACGGUCCAGACUCCUACGGGAGGCAGCAGUGGGGAAUAUUGCGCAAUGGGGGCAACCCUGACGCAGCAAUACCGCGUGAGUGAAGAAGGUUUUCGGAUCGUAAAGCUCUGUUAUUGGGGAAGAAGCAGUGACGUACCCAAUGAGGAAUUU